UACAGAGGGUGCUAGCGUUGUUCGGAAUCAUUGGGCGUAAAGCGCGUGUAGGCGGUCCGGUAAGUCCGCUGUGAAAGUCGGGGGCUCAACCCUCGAAUGCCGGUGGAUACUGUCGGGCUAGAGUGCGGAAGAGGCGAGUGGAAUUCCUGGUGUAGCGGUGAAAUGCGCAGAUAUCAGGAGGAACACCUAUUGCGAAGGCAGCUCGCUGGGACGUAACUGACGCUGAGACGCGAAAGCGUGGGGAGCAAACAGG
Molecule: ribosomal RNA, 253 nt
Filed under: uncultured bacterium
Lineage: Bacteria
Description: partial 16S ribosomal RNA
Rfam family: Bacterial small subunit ribosomal RNA
Source: RNAcentral